This 113-nucleotide ribosomal RNA is filed under the name Sinocyclocheilus anshuiensis. The record is from RNAcentral. Lineage: Eukaryota; Metazoa; Chordata; Actinopteri; Cypriniformes; Cyprinidae.
UCGUGAAGCACCUUUAUUUUUAAGAGUGUGGUUGCCCACUGAAGCUAAGCAGGGUUGAGCCUGGUCAGUACCUGGAUGGGAGAGCUCCUGGGAAAACUAGGUUGCUGCAGGAA